GCUUUAGUGGCGCAGCUAACGCGAUAAGUAGACCGCCUGGGGAGUACGGCCGCAAGGUUAAAACUCAAAUGAAUUGACGGGGGCCCGCACAAGCGGUGGAGCAUGUGGUUUAAUUCGAUGCAACGCGAAGAACCUUACCUGGUCUUGACAUAGUGAGAAUCUUGCAGAGAUGGGAGUGCCUUCGGGAAUUCACAUACAGGUGCUGCAUGGCUGUCGUCAGCUCGUGUCGUGAGAUGUUGGGUUAAGUCCCGCAACGAGCGCAACCCUUUUCCUUAUUUGCCAGCGGGUUAAGCGGGAACUUUAAGGAUACUGCCAGUGACAAACUGGAGGAAGGCGGGGACGACGUCAAGUCAUCAUGGCCCUUA
RNAcentral lists this ribosomal RNA (365 nucleotides) under uncultured Enhydrobacter sp. Its description in RNAcentral is "bacterial SSU rRNA". It matches the Rfam family "Bacterial small subunit ribosomal RNA", at positions 837 to 1204 of the family's 1533-position model. The record is from RNAcentral. Lineage: Bacteria; Pseudomonadati; Pseudomonadota; Alphaproteobacteria; Hyphomicrobiales.